This 374-nucleotide ribosomal RNA is filed under the name uncultured bacterium. RNAcentral's name for it is "bacterial SSU rRNA". It matches the Rfam family "Bacterial small subunit ribosomal RNA", at positions 524 to 898 of the family's 1533-position model. The record is from RNAcentral.
GACGAACCGUGCAAACGUUGUUCGGAAUCACUGGGCUUAAAGGGCGCGUAGGCGGGCAAGCAAGUCAGGGGUGAAAGCCCACGGCUCAACCGUGGAAGUGCCUUUGAUACUGUUUGUCUCGAGGGAGGUAGGGGCGUGCGGAACUUCCGGUGGAGCGGUGAAAUGCGUAGAUAUCGGAAGGAACACCGGUGGCGAAAGCGGCGCGCUGGACCUCUACUGACGCUGAGGCGCGAAAGCCAGGGGAGCAAACGGGAUUAGAUACCCCGGUAGUCCUGGCCCUAAACGUUGGGUACUAGGUAGUGGACUUACAUGGGUUCACUGCCGAAGCAAAAGUUUUAAGUACCCCGCCUGGGGAGUAUGGUCGCAAGGCUGAA